GAUGAACGCUGGCGGCGCGCCUAACACAUGCAAGUCGAACGGAGUUACUCUGAAUGAAGUUUUCGGAUGGAUUUUGGAUUAACUUAGUGGCGAACGGGUGAGUAACGCGUGAGUAACCUGCCCUGGAGUGGGGGACAACAGUUGGAAACGACUGCUAAUACCGCAUAAGCCCACAGUGCCGCAUGGCACAGCGGGAAAAGGAUUUAUUCGCUUCAGGAUGGACUCGCGUCCAAUUAGCUAGUUGGUGAGGUAACGGCCCACCAAGGCGACGAUUGGUAGCCGGACUGAGAGGUUGAACGGCCACAUUGGGACUGAGACACGGCCCAGACUCCUACGGGAGGCAGCAGUGGGGGAUAUUGCACAAUGGGGGCAACCCUGACCGAGCAACGCCGCGUGAGUGAAGAAGGUUUUCGGAUCGUAAAGCUCUGUUGUAAGAGAAGAACGUGUGUGAGA
Molecule: ribosomal RNA, 453 nt
Filed under: uncultured bacterium
Lineage: Bacteria
Description: bacterial SSU rRNA
Rfam family: Bacterial small subunit ribosomal RNA
Source: RNAcentral